Molecule: transfer RNA, 82 nt
Filed under: Sphaerobolus stellatus SS14
Lineage: Eukaryota; Fungi; Basidiomycota; Agaricomycetes; Geastrales; Sphaerobolaceae
Description: tRNA-Asp (GTC) (tRNA-Asp-GTC-31-1)
Source: RNAcentral
UCUUAGGUAGUAUAGUGGUUGGUAUUCGCGCCUGUCAUAUUCGAGGUCGCGGUCGACCGGGGUUCAAUUUCCCGCCCGAGAG